This 377-nucleotide ribosomal RNA is filed under the name uncultured bacterium. RNAcentral's name for it is "bacterial SSU rRNA". It matches the Rfam family "Bacterial small subunit ribosomal RNA", at positions 521 to 896 of the family's 1533-position model. The record is from RNAcentral.
UAAUACGUAGGGCGCAAGCGUUGUCCGGAAUUAUUGGGCGUAAAGAGCUCGUAGGUGGCUGGUCACGUCUGCCGUGAAAGCCCGCAGCUUAACUGCGGGUCUGCGGUGGAUACGGGCCGGCUAGAGGUAGGUAGGGGCAAGUGGAAUUCCUGGUGUAGCGGUGAAAUGCGCAGAUAUCAGGAGGAACACCGGUGGCGAAGGCGGCUUGCUGGGCCUUACCUGACGCUGAGGAGCGAAAGCGUGGGGAGCGAACAGGAUUAGAUACCCUGGUAGUCCACGCUGUAAACGUUGGGCGCUAGGUGUGGGGAUCUUCCACGAUUUCCGUGCCGGAGCUAACGCAUUAAGCGCCCCGCCUGGGGAGUACGGCCGCAAGGCUA